RNAcentral lists this ribosomal RNA (464 nucleotides) under uncultured bacterium. RNAcentral's name for it is "partial 16S ribosomal RNA". It matches the Rfam family "Bacterial small subunit ribosomal RNA", at positions 339 to 795 of the family's 1533-position model. The record is from RNAcentral.
CUACGGGCUGCUCCAGUGGGGAAUAUUGGACAAUGGGCGCAAGCCUGAUCCAGCAAUACCGCGUGUGUGAAGAAGGCCUGCGGGUUGUAAAGCACUUUCAAUUGUGAAGAAAAGCGAGAGGUUAAUAGCCUUUUGUCUUGACGUUAACUUUAGAAGAAGCACCGGCAAACUCUGUGCCAGCAGCCGCGGUAAUACAGAGGGUGCGAGCGUUAAUCGGAAUUACUGGGCGUAAAGCGUGCGUAGGCGGUUUAGUAAGUCAGAUGUGAAAGCCCUGGGCUCAACCUGGGAACUGCAUUUGAAACUGCUGAACUAGAGUGUGGUAGAGGGAAGUGGAAUUCCGGGUGUAGCGGUGAAAUGCGUAGAUAUCCGGAGGAACACCAGUGGCGAAGGCGACUUCCUGGACCAACACUGACGCUGAGGUACGAAAGCGUGGGUAGCAAACAGGAUUAGAUACCCUGGUAGUC